RNAcentral lists this non-coding RNA (22 nucleotides) under Arabidopsis thaliana (thale cress). Lineage: Eukaryota; Viridiplantae; Streptophyta; Magnoliopsida; Brassicales; Brassicaceae. The record is from RNAcentral.
UUUCGAUUGAUUCAUUUUCAAC